Molecule: ribosomal RNA, 665 nt
Filed under: Cornus officinalis
Lineage: Eukaryota; Viridiplantae; Streptophyta; Magnoliopsida; Cornales; Cornaceae
Description: eukaryotic LSU rRNA
Rfam family: 5.8S ribosomal RNA (bases 253-408)
Source: RNAcentral
CGAGACCUGGACCUCAGAACGACCCGUCCACGUGUUUUUUACGACGGCGGCUGGGCGCUCUCGCGGGUGCCCCGGCGCCAUCAGGGUGAGCGCGUGCCGAUCCCUUCGCGGGGGGAGGCAGGCGCUUUCCCCUGCAAAAAUAACGAACCCCGGCGCGAACCGCGCCUAGGAACACGAACGAAAGAGCGAGCCCGCGAAGCCCCGUCCGCGGGCGCGAUCGCGGGCCGGCAUCUUCCUUUAUCGAAAUCGAACGACUCUCGACAACGGAUAUCUCGGCUCUCGCAUCGAUGAAGAACGUAGUGAAAUGCGAUACUUGGUGUGAAUUGCAGAAUCCCGUGAACCAUCGAGUCUUUGAACGCAAGUUGCGCCCGAAGCCGUCAGGCCGAGGGCACGUCUGCCUGGGCGUCUCACAUCGCGUCGCCCCCCCCACCACCCCACCACACACUUCGGUGACGGUGGGCGGGGGGCCGACUGAAACCUUUAUUUUUCUAGGUUGACCUCGGAUCAGGUAGGGAUACCCGCUGAACUUAAGCAUAUCGAAAGCGGAGGAAGUGGUGGUUGAGACGGAACCUUAAGCGUCCUGUCGUGCGUGCCGCAGUCGCCAGCGCGAUGCUCGCGCGACCCUUAACGCGCCGUCACCCGACGGUGCCUCGACCGCGACCCCA